RNAcentral lists this ribosomal RNA (539 nucleotides) under uncultured Gammaproteobacteria bacterium. Its description in RNAcentral is "bacterial SSU rRNA". It matches the Rfam family "Bacterial small subunit ribosomal RNA", at positions 48 to 577 of the family's 1533-position model. The record is from RNAcentral. Lineage: Bacteria; Pseudomonadati; Pseudomonadota; Gammaproteobacteria.
UAAGGACAUGCAAGUCGAACGGUAACGACACUAGCUUGCUAGUGGGCGACGAGUGGCGGACGGGUGAGUAACGCGUAGGAAUCUACCUAGUAGUGGGGGAUAGCCAAGGGAAACUUUGGGUAAUACCGCAUACGAUCUAAGGAUGAAAGGGGGCCUCUCUUUGAAGCUCUCGCUAUUAGAUGAGCCUGCGUAAGAUUAGCUUGUUGGUGAGGUAAUGGCUCACCAAGGCGACGAUCUUUAGCUGGUCUGAGAGGAUGAUCAGUCACACUGGAACUGAGACACGGUCCAGACUCCUACGGGAGGCAGCAGUCGGGAAUAUUGGACAAUGGGGGAAACCCUGAUCCAGCCAUGCCGCGUGUGUGAAGAAGGCCCUAGGGUUGUAAAGCACUUUUAGUAGUGAGGAAGGCUCAGUAGUUAAUACCUGCUGGGAUUGACGUUAGCUACAGAAAAAGCACCGGCUAAUUUCGUGCCAGCAGCCGCGGUAAUACGAAAGGUGCAAGCGUUAAUCGGAAUUACUGGGCGUAAAGCGCGCGUAGGCG